AUUAUGAAAGGGAAUGAAGGGUGCCUGGAAACUGUAGUGGAAGUGACUGUAUUCUUCUGCUCUUUGAUUUGCAUAAUCCGAUAUUCUCAUCAAAGCACAUCUCUCAUUACCUUCUAAUGUACAGCUUUGCAAAUUGUUUGUGAAAAUUGGUCGGGAUCAAUUGUAUAUGGGAUUUUAAGUUGUCCGGCUUAUCUUUUGGCCAUUGGCUUCUAUACCUUUACUCUAGUAUCCGCUAAUGUAUUUUCUUUUUGGCGCGAUAAUAAUUUGGUUGUGUAUCUCAUUAUGUUUCCUUAUGUGCAUAAGUUACAGGCAAGGAAAUAGAGCAUGUGAGUUCGAGGACUUACCUAAUUUUUCCCUUUAGACUCUAAAAGAUUCAAAUUUUCAUUUAUUUUGUUACGUUUUUACUUGGUAAUUGAUGAUAACAGAGCCUGUUUACGAAGGGAUUUAUCUCGACUUUGAUAUGAUUCUUUUAUGGAUGAGCAAGAUCAUAGAGUAGCAUGUCAACUUCUAUCAGUUCAUGUGUUUUGGGAGAGAACCAUCAUUUAUAUGGGGACCUCCCUCACGCUUGCACUUCUUACAAUGUUACGUACAAUUAGUUCUCUUACUAGAACUAUGCAGAAUCAAUGGAGAUCCUACGAUUAUUGAGUGCGUACUAGAUUGAAAUUUGUGAAGUUAGACAGAGUUGAGAGAUAUUUGAAUUAUUAUUUACUAAGGAGGUGUCUCCAUUUCUGAUGCUAAUUGAAUUCUUCAGCACCCCAUUUCUUAUUUAAAUGACGUGUUAGGUAAUUGGUUAACAUGACUAAAACAUGUCAUAUUUUCUGAGUGCCUUGCUAAUUAAUUCUUUCCUAUCCAGGCCAAAUGAGCAUGUAAAAGGUCUUCAUUGGGAAGUUUUCUCUAGAUUUUUUUUUUUUUUUUUUUAUUGGGGCAAAUGCUGUUCGUUAAGUCAAAUAUGUAGCCUUGCCUUAUCCCAUGCCCUUGUCUUUUCAUAUUUUAAGACUAUGGAUGUCAAAAUGCUGGCUGCUGCUCACUGAGGAACCUUGAAUUGGCGAGGAGAAAAAACUUAAGUAGGAUUUAUAAUUCAAGUUCUAGGUGUGCACUGAAGAUUUUAUGACAUGUAGCGACACAAUCUGUUCUCUCAUUAUUUCAUCUAUUUUAUCUCUUUUGGCAAAUUAAUUGUUAUCAUAUUUCAGGCAGAAUUACUUGAUCCGGCUGUGAAGGGAACUCUUAAUGUCCUGAAGUCAUGUUCCAAAGCACCUUCUGUGCAGCGUGUGGUCUUGACAUCAUCUAUCGCUGCAGUUGUAUACAAUGGACAACCACGGACACCUGAAGUUGUGGUGGAUGAAAGUUGGUUUUCUGAUCCAGACUUGUGCAGGCAAACCAAUGUAUGCAUCUUGUCCAGUUUAAUCUUGUUGUCUCAUGUAUUAUAUCUACUGGUGCUGAGAUGAUCAACAUGAGUGAAAUCUAAAAAUGCACUGUUAACCACUCCUCUCAAAGUGAUCUCUGCCAUUUUGUAUUUCUUGUUAUUGACACAAACUAGCUGGCUGGUUGGUGGAGUUGUUCCAUUUCAAUCUCAGUGGUUAUCAUAACGGCAUCAAUUUUGGAGUGGCUUUCUUUUCCGUCAUGAAUGCAUUAUAUCUCUCUAAUUUUUGCCCCCUUGUAGGCAUGGUAUUUGCUUUCCAAGACUUUGGCUGAGGACGCUGCCUGGAAAUUUGUGAAAGAAAAGGGCAUUGACAUGGUUACAAUUAACCCAGCUAUGGUGAUUGGUCCUCUUUUGCAGCCAACACUUAACACAAGCGCUGCGGCGAUCGGAAAUUUGAUAAAUGGUAAUUCAGUAGCUACCAUUCUCCAGAUAACAGAGUUUCGUGUUUCCAUUGCAUCGAUAAUGCAUGAUUGCAUUGACAAACAGUUCUCUGCCCUAACUAACAAGGAAGCUCGCACCACUAUUCUGUUUCUUUACCAUCCUAAUUCAGUUUUACCCAUUCUAAAUUACUAUUUGAGAGGAGGAAAUAUGAAUAUUUACUUUUCCAACUUCUUAACAUAUGUCUGACCAAAAAAAAAUAAAAAUAUCUUCUUAACAUAUGAUGAUUAUAUAAUUGUACAAAUUUACCCAUUCAGCUGGGGCUUUGUCGGUAUCUCUCCUUUUUGGUAAGGUUUUCGUCUCAUUUCUUUGUUUGAUUUUGAUUACUUCUGUGAUUUUUCCUUGGGAGAAAGCAGAAAGGAUAGGUGUACCGUCACCCAGUUCAUUGCCGUCAAUUUUCUCCUUGUGUUUUCACCAUACAGUAGCCAUCCUUGUUAUAUGCAGCCUACUUUUUUUUUUUUUUUUGAAAGUUUUGUCGUAUCCCUUCUAACCAAGAGUAUUUUAAUUUGAUAUCCAUUCUGCUUGUGAUUCCAACUCAGGUGCACCAACUUUUCCAAAUGCAAGUUUUGGAUGGGUCAAUGUCAAAGACGUUGCAAAUGCUCAUAUACUGGCAUUUGAGGUCCCAUCAGCCAGCGGAAGAUAUUGUUUAGUUGAGAGAAUUGCACACUGCUCCGAGAUCGUGAGGAUCUUACGCGAGCUUUACCCUUCUGUCCAGCUUCCAGAAAAGUAAGUGGUUAGACCAUAACCUGUACAUGUAUAGUGACCUGUAGAGUAUCAUGGUUUUCCUAUUAUCGUGUGAAGGUAGACAAGUUUUUCAUGGGAAAUACUAUUGGUAUAAAUCAUAUGCUGCUGAUUUACAAGAUUUUUUUUUUUUAAUUAUUAUUUUUUUCUAACUUUCAUUUCUGGUGGUAGGAAACUUUUGGAGUUAGAAUCUCAUAUACAAGUUCCUAGGUCUACUGUCUCAUUUUUCCCAUGAUGUCUAUCUUGCGUCUGUUUGCUUCCAGCGGAGAUUGCUGAUUCUGCUUGAAAUUCACUUCGUAGGUCCGCGGACGACAAGCCUUUUGUGCCGAUCUAUCAGGUGUCCAAGGAGAAAGUGAAAAGCUUGGGGAUCGACUGCAUUCCUCUGAAUCAGAGUUUGAAGGAGACUGUUGAAAGCCUGAAGGAGAAGGGUUUUGUUAAGUUAUGAUAGAAAAUUUUCCCAAUUCAGAAAUGUAAUAGGGAGGCUUAUCACCCUACUGCCUGUUCGUUCCCAUGAAGUGUGUUUGCACACAAACAUUGGUGAAGGCAGGAAACCAUAGAUUUUCCUGCUCCUCUGUACUAGUCUUCAUUAUAAAACGAGGAGUGCCGUCGCUGUGUUCUUGCUCGAUCGUUGAAUUAGGAUGGACCGAGUGUUUAGGUCCACGGCCAGUGGUUUGCGUGAAGGGCGUCCGCAAUUAUCCCUUCGCGAAAUUUACGUUCUCCUCCGUAUCAAAACUUUCUAGAACGUCCAAGUUUAGACCCUCUAAUAAUCAAUUACAUCCUAUUUAGGAUCAACACUAUAAAAAAUUCCUAAUCAGAUAGCAAAAACUCUCAAAUUGAUAUACUCAUGCCACAUUUUGUAAGACGCGAAAGCGUAACCCAAGAUCUCCAUAGUUGGAAACAAGAACACAUAUGUAAUCAUAUCGACAGAUUUACACACCUGAUUUAGACAACCGUUCUUAAUGCGGAAUAACGGCGAUCCAAACUCAAGAACUUCUCCUCUACUGCUUUAUUUAUCAUUGGCUCAAUAAGACGGCUCUCUCACCCUUUAGCAUUAGGUAAAUAUUCUCAAGAUAAUUGUGAGAAUUAAGGUUAGAGGAGAGAGCUUUAACUAAGCCUGCGUUCGUUUCACGGAAAAUGGACCAUCUCCAGAAAAUAUUUUCCCAGAAGUCAUUUUCCAGGAAAAUGGCUAUAUUUUCCGGUGUUCGGCUGAAACUUAAAUUUUGAGUGGAAAACAUUUUCCACCAUUCGUUAACUAAUUUAAUUGUUUAGAAAAAAUUAUCAAAAAAUUGAAUUUUAAUAUUUUUAAUUGACCAAAAAUAUUUGUAUUUUUAAAAAAUACAAUUUUUUAUUAUCUUCCAUCGUUCAUUUAUUUUUUCUUUCUUUUUCUUUUUAUUUUCCUUCUCCUUCCUCCUCCUUCCUCCUUCCUCCGCCGCCGCACGCCUAACGAUGGCUGACUGCCCGGCGGCCGACCAAGAUCCGGUCGCCAGAUCCGGCGAGCUCGAGGCUUGGCUGAUCUCGCCCGAGCUCGCUAGAGGUUCGUCAGGCUCUGGCGAGCUCAGGCGAGGCCCGAGCCCCGCCCAGCUAGCCGGAUUUGGUGAGGCCAGAGCUCCGCCCCAAGCCGGCGAGGCUCCGCCUCGCUCGAUCUGGCGAGACCCGAGCUCGCCGAGCUCGGGCGAGCUGGGCUUCACAGAUCGGGCUAGGCAGAGCCUCGUCGACCGCGGUCGCCAGUCGCCGACCGCUGUUGGGGCCGACCACCGGCCAAGCUAAGGAAGAAAGAUGAAAAGGAAAGAAAGCAAAAAAAAAGAUAUAAGGUAGAAGAAGUUAUGGAAAAUGUUUUCCACUUUUCAGAAGUGGAAAACAUUUUCCUUAUCUUUGAAGGUAGUUUUUACUAUUGAUGGAAAACAUUUUCCUUAAGUAGUUGAUUUUCCGUGAAAUGAACAUCGGAAAAUCCGGAAAACAUUUUCCUGGAAAUCAUUUUCCGUGAAACGAACGCAGUCUAAGUCCUCUCAUUACGAGCUAGGUACAACUUGGCUCACAUUAGCCAAUCACAUAUUAAACUAAUUAAGAAACCCGAAAGCGCAACCCAAGAUCUUCAUAACUAGAAACAAGAACACAUAUGUAGAUAUAUUAAUUAGGACUGUCAUUCUUGAUGUGGAAUAGCAACAAUCCAAACUCAAUAACUUCUCCUUUAUUACUCUGUGUAUCAGUAGUUCAAUGAGAUGGCCUUCUUACUCUUUAGCACUAAGUAAAUGCGCAAUUGUGAGAAUUAGGGUUAGAUGAGAAAUUUGAGCACUAUUUAUAGAGUUUGCUCUCUUAUUACGGGCCAUGUACAACUCGGCCUACAUUAGCCAGUCUUAUAUUAGACUAAUUAAAAAACAUUUUAUCUUACCUUAGAUCAACCCCAUAAAAUGAUAAAUUACAAUAUCAAUUAAUGUAGCCCAUACUAGGAAAACUCUUAUAUUCUUUCACUUGGACUAUAUUAAUUGAAAUUAUACUAUAUGUGCACACAUUGAUCUAAAGAUAAUUCUUAAUAAUCAAUCAUAUCUCAUAAAGUCUCAAACAUCAAAUCAUGGCGGUAAUUGCAUAUAUGCAUACAGAGCCUUCCAUGGUCAUGAGUGCUUUUAAUUUUAUUGAUAUUGAUUCAAUAUGAUAGUGUGACAGAUUGAUAACAACUCUCAAAGAGAGAUAUCCCAUUUGUUAGUCACCAUUCUCUUACCUUAAGUGUCACAUAAACCUAUGUCACUAGAGAAUGCUUUUAUGGUUAACAUUUUUUUUUAUGUAUAACAAUACAUAUGCUCAAUGCUAAUAACCAAAUGCCCCUAACCUUCACUCAUAAUUUAUACAAUACCUUGAGACUUUUAUUAAUAAGUAAUCAACAUAAUGACAACACAUUCAAAAAUAUUUUAUUAAAUGCAAAAGUUGAUAUAUAUUAAACCGUUACUAAGUGUAACAAACACAAAUAUAAACUUUAUUUUAGUAAAAUCGAAACAGGUACGACUAAAUAAUGGCAUUUCAUAAUGCUCAUAAGCCCAUAUAAUGACAUGCCAUUCAAAAACAGAAGAGCGAAAUCCUUUAAUUAGUGGAUUUGCAACCAUAUCAUCUAUGGAAAUAUGUUUUAUUAUAAUGUCACAAUUUUGUAACGUUUCUUUAUAAUCAAUAAUUUGACCGCCAUUUUUACUAAAAAAAAUAAUAAUUUGACCGCCAUAUAUUUAGAUCAUUUGAGACCUCUAUUGAUAAUAAACAACACUACAAAGUUAUUGUCUCAAUACAAUUUUAUGGAUUUAUCCAUAAAGUUAAAUACGAUCAACUCUUUAAUGAGUUUCCGGAGCCUAAUAGCCUGAGUAAUAGCCUAAAAACAUGAUACAAACUCCGUUUACAUGGUAGAAUAUGACAUAGCUUUCUAUUUACUGCACUUCCUACUAACAUAAAUAUGUAUUCCGUUAUUGAUUUCAUAUCAUCCUAGUAGCCAGCAAAAUUUACAUCCAAAUACCCUGCUAACUACAAAACUUAAACAUGCUGCAUGACUUGAACAUCUCUGUAAAUUGGCAUAUAGUCUUUUAUCCCAUUUUUUAAAUACCUCCACAAAAAAAAAAAAUUAUUGGCAGUAACCCAAUAAUUGUAUCCUAGAUUUAACUAAUAUCUACUACAAGUUCUGUUNNNNNNNNNNNNNNNNNNNNNNNNNNNNNNNNNNNNNNNNNNNNNNNNNNNNNNNNNNNNNNNNNNNNNNNNNNNNNNNNNNNNNNNNNNNNNNNNNNNNGAUAUUUUCAAGUACACUGACACAAGGUAUACAUUUUAAUUGGAUUUUCUCAAUAUCUAAAUAAAUACAAUGUAACAAAUUCGAUCUAUCACCCUUUAAUGACAAAAGCAAUUUCUAAUUGCAAUGAUGUAUAUUGAAUAUCUGCAAAAUAUGAUAAGCAAAUGUCCUCUGAUAUGAACCCAAUAUAUGUCAAGAACGAUCUUUAUGAACCUCAGUGCAAAGGACAAAAGAUACUUAAGGUCCUCCAUGUCAAUUUUUUUUUUUUUUGAUAAUAUCUACUUUAUCUCAAACAGUAAUUCAAGAUCACUACUUACAAGUAAAAUAUCAUGUACAUAAAGUUAAGAAAAAUAAAUUUCCUCCCACUGAUCUUACAGUAUAUAUAUACGAAAUUACUUUGUUCUCAACUUUACGAAGUGACAGCACUAUGAAACUUAAUAAUAUUGUUCAAUAUACUGAAUUAUUUUAUUUUCAACUGAACGAAGUGACAACACUAUAAAUAAAAAUAUUGUCUGAAAACUUAAGACCAUAAAUAAGAAUUUUCAAUCUAUGCACAAGUUUACCUGAAUCAUCUACUGCAAAACCUUCCGGUUGCACUAUACAAAUUUCAUUAUCAAUAUGUCCAUUUGGAAAGAUAGUUUACAUUUGGCGUAACUCCAUAUCAAAAUGAGCAGCAAAAGAACAGCCCAAGUGCCAUAACUUGGCACGGGAGAACACUUAAGUGCCAUAACUUCANNNNNNNNNNNNNNNNNNNNNNNNNNNNNNNNNNNNNNNNNNNNNNNNNNNNNNNNNNNNNNNNNNNNNNNNNNNNNNNNNNNNNNNNNNNNNNNNNNNNGGCACUCUAGGUGUCCCAACCUCCAAAUGAGCUAUUAAAUUUCAUGGUCACUCUAAAAUAAUCUUUUGAAGAGAUUGGAAAAAAGAUAUUUCUUUAUAGUCCACCCCUAUUUAAGGGUGAAAAACUUUGGUUACCAGUUUGGCUUUAAAUUCCAUAAUCUUUCUUUGAAAUCCUUUUUAAUUUUGUACACAUAUUUGCAACUAAUGAGCUUGUGACCUUUAGGCAAGUUAAUAAGUUCCCAAUAAUAUUUCACAGAGUUCAUAUAGUUUUUUAUGGCAUCUAAUCACAUAUCCGAUUGUGGAUAAGAAACAAUAUUUGUAUAAAUCACUAGAUCAACCAUGCAAUAAAUAUCGUAGUCAUACUCUCACAUAUGGACUAUGUAGUCUAGUAAUAUAACUGAUCGCAUUUCCCUAACAGAUCUCCUGAAUAGAGUUACGGCCACUUUAUUCUACACCUGAAAGACUUGAAAAACUUCAUUAGAAAUUGUCUCAAUAAUAGUAUCUUGAACCUCAAUAAGCUUAGUCUGUGAUAUAAGAGAUUCCACAAUUGUCUAUAUAGGCAAAGACAAAGACAUAGUGAUCUCCACCGUACUAUCAUUCUUAAUAGUCUAAGAGCAUCUAUUAUCUGUAGCCACAUCGAACUUUAGAAAUUUAGUUGUCUAUGAUUCCAUAAAUUGUACUUUCAUUAAGGUCAUAAAAUCGAUACCCCUUUGAACAAUUUAAGUAAGACAUGAAAUAAUUAUGAGUGGAUCUAAAUUCCAACAUACUUAAUAUUAGAUUAUAUAAUCUCACUUCUAAGGGACACCCCUAAAUUUUAAUAUGAUUCAAGUUAGAUUUACGUCCAGUCCAAAACUCAAAAGGAGUUAAUGAAACAACUUUGGUAAGAAACAUGUUUUUGUAUGUGAAAAUGUUGUUUUCAAAAUAUCAGCCCACAAAAGACCGACUAAAUUAGUCUUAUUAAUUAUACUUAUUACUAUGUUCAUAAUGGUGCUAUUAUACCUUUCAGCAAAAUCAUUUUAUUCAAGAUUUUCAAGCAAAGCAUAUUAAGUUAUCACCCCAAAAUCUACAAAGUAUUUGACAAAUGAUCCUUAAAACUAUUCAGCAUUACUCUACUUAUCAAAAUACCAUCACGGUUAGGUCUGACAACCUUUAAGACUUAUUCUAACUAUUUUUCAAUUUUAGUCCGAAUUUUUUUUAAAUUUAUCUAAAAGUUCAGACUUUUCCUUCAUCAAGUACAGAAGAAAUAGUCAUCAAUGACUUUGUUGAAAUAAAAUUUCUGCAUAAUGUUAAAGAUUCUAUUGUAAGGCCCAGACUAUUAAAACAACCGGUGGUUUCAUGAGUUCUUUUAUAAGUAUGAUUUUUAAACUUCAAAUCUACCAUCUUUACAACAUAAUCUCUAAUCUCAUUAAAAUAAUCAUACCUUAUGUUAAAGAGUUUUUGCAGAUGUGUCCUAAUCUUUAUUAGACAUGAUAUAAUUUCAAACCAUUAAGGCUUUCAUCAUCCUUUAGUACUGCAAUCAGUUGGUAAACCACUUUUUAAGCGUUCUUAAAUGGAAAAUAACAGGUAAAUCCAAUUACUUUUACCCAAACAAAAAAUCUUAUUUCCACUAUUUAGGUUUAAACCAGUAAAAACCUCAACAAUAAUUGAGUUAUUAAUUACAAAUAAGGUGACUAAAAUAACAAUUAAUGUAUAUAAUUAGCAUUAUGUGAGUACUAUGUAACUUGAAGACACAUAAAUACAUAUCUAGAGAGUUAUAUGCAUUAUUAUAUAAUAUCAUUUGGGCAUAAUACAUAACAUGUAGUUGUAUACUCUCCACAUGACAGUGGCAAUGAGAAUAUAUUCCAAUCUUCAUGAAUUCAUUACCUUGGGGUAUAUGAACCACUAGAAUUGGUCACUCAUCCACCAUUCUAUCAUGUAUCCUUUCAUAAACUGAUACACAAUCAUCUCCUUUGAGAGUAUGAUCAUGCAUUAAAACAGGAUACAUCACUUCAUUAUAUGAGAUCGAUAUUUCUCAAGCCCAAUUAAGUGUGCCAUUUUAACGGUCACAACUCAAUUAAAUUCUUGAAACUCUCUCAUACCGGGAUAUAAACUUUACUUCUCAUAUACAUUAUAUACAUGUGAUUUUAAUUUUAGUAACAAUGGCAAUUAAUCACUAAAAUUACAUAUCAUGCUAAUUAUAUUACUUUAUUCAUUGAUACUAAUUAAACUUUAUAUAUUAUAAUCACAUGUAUAUAAUGUAAUGACAUUUGUGAAUCAACACCUAUAUUUCCAAAAUCAUAAAAAAAAAUACAAGAAAAUAUACAAAAGUACCCUAAAAUAACCCAAAAAGCACGCGCAUUUAGGAUUUUGUACAUAUUUUUACAUUCAUAAAAUUAUAAAAAAACAAAAAUAAAAAUAUCACCAUGUAGAGCAUCUUCAUACGAGCACAGAGACUUUAAAAAUGUGCUUGUAUGCGCUUUUGGAAUGUGUGGUGCGUGUUGCGCACACGUUGGCCACCUGGACCAAUCUAACCAACAAUUUGACUGAUUCAACCGGUCACUUUCUAGUCCAAUCGGCCGAUCAAUGGACGGUCCGACCAAUUGACAGAAUCGGGCAGGUCAACGGGUUGGAUUUGGGUUUGGUCAACAUAUCAGAUCGGAUCAGGUCAACGGCCAAGUCGGGUCUAGCUCUGUGAGUUACUAACGUCAGUGUGACAUCAGCUCUCGUGCAUGUGACACGCAUGAGCAGCACCCCACGCGUUAGAGUGCGUGAGGGUGCGUGACCACGUAUGGGUCGCAUGCUCAACACCUUGGUGGUGUGCGACUACACGUGGGGGAGCGUGCGGCCACCCCUGGCAGCUUGCUAGCCAUGGUUUUACUCAUCCAAAUGAGCCCAUUCCAAAUUUAUUAUUAAAUUUUAUUUUUAUUGAACAAAAAAAAUCACGAAAAUCACGAAAAAAGCAUGCAUUUAAGUUCUAGGUUAUGGAGGCCACCAUUCCAAUAUGAAAGGCAAAAAUGGGGGUUCAAAUCCCCACAUUUUCAAGGGGGUUGAAUUAAGGUGGGGACGAUUUAGUUUCAGUGUGGGUUUCGACUCCCACUCCUUAUAAGGAGGCGGACAAAAGUCUCAGAGUGAGAGUUAGAGUAGGAGUGGAGUAGGACCGACAAAAAAAAAAAAAAAACUCUAAAGUUAGAAACAAGAACACAUAUGUAAUCACGUAGACAGAUUUACACAUUUGAUUAUUUGGACCACCGUUUUUUAUGCGGAAUAGCGAUGAUCCAAAGUCAAGAACUAAUCAUCUAUUGUCAUAUGUAUCACUGACUCAAUAAGACGAUCCAUUCACCCUUUAAUGUUAGGUAAACGCUUCUUCGUGAGAAUAAUUGUGAGAAUUAUGAUUAGAGAAAAAAUUUGAACAUUAUUCAUAGAGUUUCUAACUAAACCAUCUCAUUACAGCUAGGCACGACUUGGCUCGCACUAGUCAACUUCAAAUUAAACUAAUUAAGUAACAUUCUAUCUCACUUUAGACCAACUCUGUAAAACGGUAAAUUAUAAUAUCAAUUAAUAUGACCCACACUAGAAAAACUCUUACACAUUUAUCCCAAAUUGAAAUGACGGCGUCGUUUUCACUCCCCAAUUGUGGUAAAUUUGAGAUUUUAGGAGGGUCAAUAUGGCAUAAAUAUACUGAUACGAAAUUUUUGGUAAUGUGAACCCUUUUUAUUUAUAUGAAGAAGCUCCAAUGGAUUUUGCUUUUGCUUUUUGGUGAUUUCAUUUAAUUCAACCAAGUUUUUUUUUCUUCCUUUUUUUUAUGUGAUGACAAGAUUACUUAAGCAUCAAUAUAAUUCAAAACGAUCCAAUAUAUAUAUAUAUAUAUAUAUAUAUAUAUAUAUUUGAUUUUUUGAGCCAAUGGUCUAUAGCAAUGAGAUCGUCACAAUUACUUCGAGAUUAGCAUACGGACGAUAUCUCUCCGUUGAUUAUUCUUAUUUAGUCACUGAAUUGAUGAAAGUAGUAAGUCUGCUAGAAGAGAGGAGACGUACGGCUUGGUCACUCCAAAAUGAUUUACGUUACUGAUGACCUAAAGCUCGGCUUAAAUUCCGUCAGCUGACAUGUCACCCUGACAAUGAAACCUCCCUUUAAAGCAAUAUAAAAAUACUUAUUAUAAAAAUAAUCAUUAUGAAAGAAUGAUGCUGACAUAUGGAUUAGAUGGAAUGAGCAACAAGCAAGAGUCUUUCGGUCUUCUUUUGAGGUCCCACGCCAAUAAAGAUAUUUGUUCUGCGAAUAUUAAAUAGUCUAAAUAUUUUUUUAUAUUACUUUAAAAAAAUAAUAUUUUUAUAAUUCACGAAAAUAUUUAAAUAUGAAUUAUUAUUGAUAAGGAAAAUAUUUUUUAUUAGCUAAUUAUUCCAAGUGAUAUAAGUGACUAUUAUAUAAAAAAUGGUUAAUACCCUGAAAAACCCCAAACUGGUACACUUAUGACAAAUUUACCCCAAACUAUUUUUUUUACCAUGAAAAUCCCAAAACUGGUACACCUGUGACAAAUUUACCCCGACUGACCAUAAAAAACCCUAUAUUUGUAUAUUUAUGACAAAUUUACCCCAAACUAAUUUAUUCGACCGCAAAAAACCCCAAACUGAUAAAUUUGUGACAAAUAUACCCUUCCCUAAAUUUGAUUAAUAUCAUAAAAAAAUCAUAAAAAUUGUAAACUCUGACAAAUGGAUCAUAAAAUCCCAAAUUGGUAUACUAGUCAAUUGUCACGUGUCAUUUAACUUAAUAAUUUGAUAAUAAAAUUUAACGAAAACUAGCAGAGGGUAAAUUUGUCACAAGUGUACAAGUUUGGGGUAAAUUUGUCAAACGUAUACCAGUUUGAGGUUUUUGCUGAUCAAAAAAAUAGUUUGGGGUAAAUUUGUCACAAGUGUACCACUUUGGGGUUUUUCAAGGUAUUAACCCUAUAAAAAAAUAAUUUUUAAAUUAUUUAUUUUUUGUAAAAUAAAUGGAACCUAAAAUUCAUAUCCUCAUCCAUGUAUAACUUAAUAGAUAAUUGAAGAGUCCUCAAGGCAGUUACACACAGAAAAAAAAAAACCACAUGUUUUUUGUUGAGCUAUUUGACAAGUGUCCGAUCACUUGUUUUUUUUUUUUUUUUUUGACUUAUCCAAUCACUUGUUUAGUUUGAGCAUUAUUAGUGUAUUUUUUUUUUUAUGUGUUUGGUUCAAUUUUCGCAUUAUAAAAAAUUUGACAAAUUUAUGCUCUAUUAGUUUCCAUCUAAUAUUCUUGUUAAAUACACAUGUGGCAAGUGACUCAUUUGACGUGGAUCCAAUAUGAAAAUUCAGCUUUUUAAACAAAGUCAUAAUGUACUGGAAUUGGGACUUAGGGGAAAAUCAAACCUGUUCAUUCUCUUCCAAAUCACCAAAAUCUUGAGGGAAAAUUAAGGAUUUCAGCAAGAUUGCUAAUUGGGAGGAAGCUCUUGUCCAGAAACGAAACUACUGGAGAUGGCAAGAAUGGAGUGGAGUUGUUGUCCCCUGUCUAUCGAGAUGGUACUCGAUAGAGUCAAGGUGAUGGAGAAUCUGUGAGGCUUCGUAAAUUGCAAAGAGAGACGUCGCCAACAAUCUGAAUACUUGCCCUGAGACGGCCGAAAUUUCACGACUCCUUCCGAGACCUUCUCAUCCUCGCAAGUCUAGGCUAGAGGGCUUGAAUUUCUAGGGCAACGUCCUUUGUAAAAAAACCAUUUAUGCUGAAUCUCCAUAUCGGAUUCACAUCACAAAAAUUAUUGGCCGCGUGUAUUUCCAUGUCAUCAAUUUAACGAGAUAUUGGACUGAAGGUAGCGAAGUGUAAAUUUCUCACCAUGUACUAGUUUUAUGUAAUUUCAGGAUUUUCCACGACAUGAAAAUCAAUUAUAGCUAAAUGAGUUGUGGAUAUGAUAGUUUGGAAUUUUUGUCAUGCCAUUGAAUGAGGCCUCACUUUUGGUAGACUAUGGACCACAUCCACAUCGUACAACAACUUUUCAUUACUAUAUAAACGUUGACCAUGAACCACAUUAUACAACAAUACAUAUCGAGUGACGUUAAGAUUGGCCGACAUUGGGCAAGCAAGAACGUCGUCCAUCUCAACUUUUCGAUUAUUCUUUAUUUAGUUACUCAAUUGACGAAAGUGGUGACUGCUAGAAGAGGGGCGGCGGCGUGCGGCUUGGCCACUCCAAAAUGAUUUACCUUACUGAUGACGUAAACCCGGGUUUAAAUUCCAUCAGGCGACGCGUCACCCCGACACUUAAACCCCCCUUCAAAGCAAUAUAAAAAUGCUUAUUACAAUUAUAAAAAUAAUACCUUGACGUUCCGUUAGCAUCCGACGGCUGGAAUUCCGCCACGUGGCGUCGGGUCGUGGGGCGGCAUCGACGUGCGUCAGCGUUUUUCAAGAGGAUAUCGAAGCCCCGACCACUAUAAAAGAGUGCUCCUGCGGGCUCGACAGCCGCAUCUGCAGCAGAGCGAGAGAGGCACCUCCUCGAAACGAAGAAGAAGAAGAAGAAGGACGAAGGAGACGAAGGCGAGAAUGAGCGCGGCGGGCGGUGCCGGGAAGGUCGUGUGCGUGACCGGGGCGUCCGGUUACAUCGCCUCGUGGCUCGUCAAGCUCCUCCUGCAGCGCGGCUACACCGUCAAGGCCUCCGUCCGCGAUCCGAGUCCGUUCCUCGAUCCCCUCUCGUUUCCGCUUUCCGUUGGAGUCGAGUCUUGCUUCGAUGCGUGCCUUUUGGUGGUGAUCGGCCGUUGGUUGUCCCCGAUCGGCCGGUUUUGCUUCCCGACGGUCUUUGAUUCUCUCUCGUGUCGUGUGUGUCCCGUCCGUGUGACGCGGCCUAUUUCGUCGUCAUCUCGCGUAAUCCUAUGCCGUAGAUGAAUGUUUCGUGCGUACGCAGUUUCGGACUGGUGGCCGAGUGAAGUAGCUUAUGUUUUGGCUGGAUUGGUUUGAGGUAAUCGAGGUUUUAACAGCUGAGUGGGGUUUAACUGAAACUGGGGGUGUAGUGCUUUUUUCCCGACGGCGUGCCUUGUAGAAAGGUUUUCUUUUUGCUUCUUUUUCGAGCAUUUCUGGAGCAUAGAGGAGUCAUCUCGUGAGAUUAUUGAUUACCAGAUGAUGGUGGUUAGAGGUAUAAUCGAUCUGGAUAAACCUCUUUUUGUCCUUUUGGCCUAAAUGCGAGGUUAUUCUUUUAGAACUGGAGUAGUUGUGCCUUAGUUAGGUAGGCAAGGAAAAAAUGAAAGAGAACGUUCGGGAAUCUUCUAAAAGGUUACGAGAUAUUGGGUUUGUUUUCUCGGUAUUGUUACAUGAGGUUUCCAAAUUUCUAUUACAGUGCCAUGCUUUAAAUCAUUUGCUCUUGUCUCUCCUACAGAUGAUCCAAAAAAGACAUGAAAAUGCCUUCAUUCAAACUUUUGUUGAAGAGCCGUGAUGUUGUUUGACUCGAGCUGUUCCAGUUUAGUGGAAGAGUUAUGGUCAUUGAAUAUUCCGGUUUUCCUUAUCUCCAAACAACUGAUUUACAGUGUUUGCUCUUGUCUCUCCUACAGAUGAUCCAAAAAAGACUGAACAUUUGCUUGGACUUGAUGGAGCGAAAGAUAGACUUCAACUGUUCAAAGCAAACCUGCUGGAAGAGGGUUCAUUUGAUCCUAUUGUUGAGGGUUGUGCAGGCGUUUUUCACACUGCCUCUCCCUUUUAUCAUGAUGUCAAGGAUCCGCAGGUUUGGUUCCAGAAUUCAUACGCUAGUCAUUGCAGAGUAGUUCUUUUUUCUAUUUUCCAUUAAUCCUUUUUUGCCACCUUUUAUUUAUUGAAGCCAACCAGCAUGUGUCAUGUUUAUCCUGAGAGAGUCGGAAUUUAUUCAAUAUUAACCAUAACCAAGUUCAUUAACUUCAUCACCCCCGUUUUGUUUUGUUAUACUAUAGCUUUGCCUUUUUCAAUUAUGAAAGGAAAUGAAGGGUGCCUGGAAACUGUAGUGGAAGUGACUGUAUUCUUCUGCUCUUUGAUUUGCAUAAUCCGAUAUUCUCAUCUAAGCACAUCUCUCAUUACCUUCUAAUGUACAGCUUAGCAAAUUGUUUGUGAAAAUUUGUCGGGAUCAACUGUAUAUGGGAUUUUAAGUUGUCUGGCUUAUCUUUUGGUCAUUCGCUUCUAUACCUUUACUCUAGUAUCCGCUAAUGUAUUCUCUUUUUGGU
Molecule: long non-coding RNA, 15334 nt
Filed under: Eucalyptus grandis
Lineage: Eukaryota; Viridiplantae; Streptophyta; Magnoliopsida; Myrtales; Myrtaceae
Description: long non-coding RNA (EGRA_LNC001121)
Source: RNAcentral